This 214-nucleotide ribosomal RNA is filed under the name Clostridioides difficile. RNAcentral describes it as "partial 23S ribosomal RNA". It matches the Rfam family "Bacterial large subunit ribosomal RNA", at positions 1071 to 1291 of the family's 2925-position model. The record is from RNAcentral. Lineage: Bacteria; Bacillati; Bacillota; Clostridia; Peptostreptococcales; Peptostreptococcaceae.
GGAUGUGGGAUUGCACAGACAACCAGGAUGUUGGCUUAGAAGCAGCCACUCAUUCAAAGAGUGCGUAAUAGCUCACUGGUCGAGUGCUCCUGCGCCGAAGAUUUCCGGGGCUAAAACUUACUACCGACGCUACGGCAUCAGUAAUGAUGGGUAGGGGAGCUUCCCAUACGGGUUGAAGCAUGACCGUAAGGACAUGUGGACAGUAUGGGAGUGA